AUGUAUGCUAUGCUAUUUACAAGACCUGAUAUAUGCCAUGUCGUGGGUUUGUUGAGUAGAUAUCAAGUGAACCCUGGGCCUGAGCAUUGGAAACAGAUUAGGAACACUUUGCGUUAUGUCAAAGGAACUAUGGACUAUUUUUUGUGUUUUAAUGGACACAAUCUUCAGUUGCAGGGGUUUACUGAUGACCGGAAAUCAACUUCUAGUUAUAUGUUUACACUAGCAGGAGGAGCUAUUUCCUGGAGUAGCAAGAAGCAAGAUUCUAUAGCACUUACACCUAUGGAGGCUGAAUAUAUUGCUGCAUCGGAAGCUGUGAAAGAAGGUGUAUGGUUAAAGGGGUUUCUUGCGUCUCUCGUGGUGGUGGAAAGCACUUCAUAUCCUGUUACUAUUUUCUGUGAUAACCAGGCGGCAAUCAAGGUCUAA
RNAcentral lists this ribosomal RNA (423 nucleotides) under Triticum aestivum (bread wheat). Its description in RNAcentral is "partial small subunit ribosomal RNA". The record is from RNAcentral. Lineage: Eukaryota; Viridiplantae; Streptophyta; Magnoliopsida; Poales; Poaceae.